UACGAAGGGGGCUAGCGUUGCUCGGAAUCACUGGGCGUAAAGCGCACGUAGGCGGAUUGUUAAGUCAGGGGUGAAAUCCUGGAGCUCAACUCCAGAACUGCCUUUGAUACUGGCGAUCUCGAGUCCGGGAGAGGUGAGUGGAGCUGCGAGUGUAGAGGUGAAAUUCGUAGAUAUUCGCAAGAACACCAGUGGCGAAGGCGGCUCACUGGCCCGGUACUGACGCUGAGGUGCGAAAGCGUGGGGAGCAAACAGG
RNAcentral lists this ribosomal RNA (253 nucleotides) under uncultured bacterium. RNAcentral's name for it is "partial 16S ribosomal RNA". It matches the Rfam family "Bacterial small subunit ribosomal RNA", at positions 524 to 776 of the family's 1533-position model. The record is from RNAcentral.